AUGAUGCAUUUAAGGAUCAGCAGUGAUUCAGUAGGAGCCACAUAUGUAUCAUCCCAGAAGCGAUAUUGCAGUAUUGAGCUACUCUCAAGUUCAAAACUGGAGCAGAAAGGCCAGCUGAGUAGGGUGACUGUUUGGGAAUAUGAAAUUACCUGGAGAAACAGUUACUUUGACAUCCGGAGUGGAUGCAAGGAAGAACUGGUGAAAUUCUCUUCAGUAAGAAAGCUACCAGCAGCCAGCAUAGAACUGGGUUCCUCCUCCAGACCACAGCAAACUCCUGGAUUUCACAAACAAACACCAAAAAUCUCAGAGCCACUUUAGUUCCUUUCUAAACUUGGAACUACCCCUGUAUUCCUAGCACAAAGGUUUUUUUGUGUGUGUGUGAUAAAGGGAAAAAGUUAAUUACACAAUUCCUCCUGUUCUCUUCUGGAUUAUGCUAGUGCAGUCUAGACUUGCAAUUUAGAAAGCUGUUUAUAAGCAGCUGCUUGGCAAAGAGCAGACAUCUUUCUUGUAGUCCAGUACAUUUAAAUAUUUAAAGGCCAGCUGCACAGAGCAAUGUCCCAGAACAUUUUCACUGGGACAUGGUGACUCAUACACAGUCAGAGGAACAUGAAUUGGACUUUCUGCCACAAGAUGGGGCUCUGCCUGCCCUGCUUCACCAUACAACCUGUUUUAUGCUUUGCUUCCUCUCCUGCGUGAAAAAUCAUUGUUUCCUCGGUUAUAAUAUGUCUUUUUUUUCUUCUUCUUCUUCUUGUUUUGCUGUUCAGCAGCACAUUUAUUUUCCAUGGCAAGAAAACAACUUUUCUGUCUUGUCCCUAAACAGACACAGAAAACUGACAAAGCCUCCAGGAUCCCCUUGUAUGAGAUAGAUGAGCUGUACUUACAGAAUUAAAGCAAAACCUUUAUUGCAGAGGAAAAUGAUGCUAUAACCAUGCCAUCUGUUUCAUAGCCUCCUGGAACAGAAAGCAUUCACGCAGGUUUCCUGCUUCUUACUAUUUCAGCAUUUUGCUCCUAAGAAGCAGAGGACCAAUGACCAGGUUCUGAUGUUUAGUGCUCACCAGCAAAUCAGUAACAGGCUGAAUUUGGCAGAUCUGUGCCAGAUCUUCAUCUGGAAAUCAAAUGUAACCUUGUAUUACAGCAAAACAAUUAUUAGUGCUGUGGUUGUGCCUGGGGGCUUUAACUGGAUCUUCACAAUGACUGGUAGUUAACACAUACAUAAUAAAACUAAUUUGUGCCCUAAGGACUUCUAAUGG
RNAcentral lists this long non-coding RNA (1250 nucleotides) under Anser cygnoides (Swan goose). Its description in RNAcentral is "lncRNA (ENSACDG00005005703.1)". The record is from RNAcentral. Lineage: Eukaryota; Metazoa; Chordata; Aves; Anseriformes; Anatidae.